Molecule: ribosomal RNA, 497 nt
Filed under: uncultured bacterium
Lineage: Bacteria
Description: partial 16S ribosomal RNA
Rfam family: Bacterial small subunit ribosomal RNA
Source: RNAcentral
GAUGAACGCUGGCGGCGUGCCUAAUACAUGCAAGUCGAGCGAACAGACGAGGCGCUUGCUCCUCUGACGUUAGCGGCGGACGGGUGAGUAACACGUGGAUAACCUACCUAUAAGACUGGGAUAACCUCGGGAAACCGGAGCUAAUACCGGAUAAUCUAUUGAACCGCAUGGUUCAAUAGUGAAAGACGGUUUUGCUGUCACUUAUCGAUGGAUCCGCGCCGCAUUAGCUAGUUGGUAAGGUAACGGCUUACCAAGGCGACGAGGCGUAGCCGACCUCAGAGGCUGAUCGGCCACACUGGAACUUGGACACGGUCCAUACUCCUGCGGGAGGCAGCAGUAGGGAAUCUUCCGCAAUGGGCGAAAGCCUGACAGAACAACGCCGCGUGAGUGAUGAAGGUCUUCGGAUCGUAAAGCUCUGUUAUUAGUGAAGAACAAAUGUGUAAGUAACUAUGCACUUAUUGACGGUACCUAAUCAGAAAGCCACGGCUAACUACGUG